This 73-nucleotide transfer RNA is filed under the name Blautia obeum. Its description in RNAcentral is "tRNA-Val". It matches the Rfam family "tRNA". Rfam says of the family: Transfer RNA (tRNA) molecules are approximately 80 nucleotides in length. Their secondary structure includes four short double-helical elements and three loops (D, anti-codon, and T loops). Lineage: Bacteria; Bacillati; Bacillota; Clostridia; Lachnospirales; Lachnospiraceae. The record is from RNAcentral.
GGGAUCUUAGCUCAGCUGGGAGAGCAUCUGCCUUACAAGCAGAGGGUCAUAGGUUCGAGCCCUAUAGGACCCA